RNAcentral lists this unclassified non-coding RNA (391 nucleotides) under soil metagenome. RNAcentral's name for it is "partial contains 5.8S ribosomal RNA, internal transcribed spacer 2, and large subunit ribosomal RNA". The stretch from base 1 to 122 matches the Rfam family "5.8S ribosomal RNA", at positions 35 to 154 of the family's 154-position model. The record is from RNAcentral.
GAUGAAGAACGUAGCGAAAUGCGAUACUUGGUGUGAAUUGCAGAAUCCCGUGAACCAUCGAGUCUUUGAACGCAAGUUGCGCCCGAAGCCAUUAGGCCGAGGGCACGCCUGCCUGGGCGUCACACGUCGUUGCCCCCCCAUCUACUCCUUCGGGAUUGCGGGGGGCGGAUGAUGGCCUCCCGUGCGCCUCGUCGCGCGGUUGGCAUAAAUGCCAAGUCCUCGGCGACGCACGCCACGACAAUCGGUGGUUGCGAAACCUCGGUUGCCCGUCGUGUGCGGUCGUCGCGCAUCGAGGGCUCGAAAAAAUUGCCGGGCUCCGGCUCGGCUUUCAACGCGACCCCAGGUCAGGCGGGGUUACCCGCUGAAUUUAAGCAUAUGAAUAAGCGGAGGA